GAUGAACGCUGGCGGCGUGCCUAAUACAUGCAAGUCGAGCGAACAGACGAGGAGCUUGCUCCUCUGACGUUAGCGGCGGACGGGUGAGUAACACGUGGAUAACCUACCUAUAAGACUGGGAUAACUUCGGGAAACCGGAGCUAAUACCGGAUAAUAUAUUGAACCGCAUGGUUCAAUAGUGAAAGACGGUUUUGCUGGCACUUAUAGAUGGAUCCGCGCCGCAUUAGCUAGUUGGUAAGGUAACGGGUUACCAAGGCAACGAUGCGUAGCCGACCUGAGAGGGUGAUCGGCCACACUGGAACUGAGACACGGUCCAGACUCCUACGGGAGGCAGCAGUAGGGAAUCUUCCGCAAAGGGCGAAAGCCUGACGGAGCAACGCCGCGUGAGUGAUGAAGGUCUUCGGAUCGUAAAACUCUGUUAUUAGGGAAGAACAAAUGUGUAAGUAACUAUGCACGUCUUGACGGUACCUAAUCAGAAAGCCACGGCUAACUACGUG
RNAcentral lists this ribosomal RNA (497 nucleotides) under uncultured bacterium. RNAcentral describes it as "partial 16S ribosomal RNA". It matches the Rfam family "Bacterial small subunit ribosomal RNA", at positions 28 to 507 of the family's 1533-position model. The record is from RNAcentral.